UCCGUCGGUGAGCUUCCUCUAGUCCGGCGAUUGGACGAGCUCAGCCGACCCCUCCGCGAAUUCUGGCUGCGCUGGUUUGAUGCACGCGCGCCGUCUUGAUCCGCCCCUGCUUCGAGCUCGGAGUUCGUAUUUCGGCCCGGCGGAUUCUAGGGUUCCAUGCUUGCGUUCCGAAUUGGGGUGUGUGCUGAUUAUCCCCUCGAUGUUUUCACCGGCUUCGGAAUCUGGUAGCUGAUUAGCGAUUAGUGCUUGUGAUUCUGGUUCCGCCUGGCUCGGAUCAUUUUAGGGCUUAAUAAUAAUCCUUCUGCGUUUCCGUGUCUUAUGUGUCAAGGCAGGUGCUGGAAAGGCGAUGCGCGCCCUCGUGUUCUUGGUGCUCGUUAGGUGCAUUGGUGGCCGGCUGCUCUUUUCAGGUAUUCUAUUCAGGUUUUGGUGCACGAUUGGCUUGCUUCCAGUGUUUCGAAUAUCUGGCUCGACGCUCGGUUGAUUCUGUUUCAUUCAGCAAGGGUGUAAAUAUGCAAUAGCAGUUUUAUGAGGUAGGAUAAAUUAAGAGGAUAAGAGCUGUAUCUUUCAAAGCUUGAAAAUGUUAACGCGUUUGGUAGAGUUCAUGUGUUCUUACUUGGUGAUCAUCCUUUCUGUGUGCUUGCGUUUUGAAUUUUGUGGACAAAAUUGCGAGCUUCAGUUUCUUUAAGAAGUAGCACGAUGAGCACCAGAUGUGUCAUUUGUGGCCCUUAUGAAAUGUUAGGUUUGGUCGUACUUCUCAGUUGCUGGUGGUCAUAAGAGUAUUGCUGUGGCCAAACGCCGAACAGAGUUCAUUUUCAGUGUCAUCAGGCUAGUUGAUUACCCUUUGAAUGUUUCAUGAACACAAAUGCUAGUUGUGAUCAGCAUAGUUUUGUAAGCCUUGAUAGGAUGCGCAUAGACAAAUGCUAAAAUAUUAAUCAACAAGAUAACCCUGGUUAAUCAGUUUUUUCUAGCUCAUACCAGAGAACCCAAGAUCUUUACUCUGUUCAGGAUCUCAGAAGCUGCAUGUAGUAAAUAAGAGCCUGCUUGGUUUGGAGCCACAUUUUGGCAAAGCUCAAACUUGCCAACAUUUGGCAACUUUGCUAGUGUUCGAUUCGAAGAAUUGCCAAAAAUUGGAGCCCAAGCAUUCAUGUGCCAACUUUUAGGGUUGCCAAAAUUUGGCUCAAACCAAGUAGUCUCUAAAUAUUUAUAUAUGAAAUCUCAUGUCUACAACAUCCUUCUACUUUUCGUGAUCAAUUUACUUAGCUAUCUGUUAUGUGUAGUUUGUUCCUUUUGACAUUUGCUAAAAUUCUGGUGAGCACACACAUUAACCAUCAAUAUUUUGAAGAACGCAUAAAGCGACGCUUUUAUGGUUGGAUAUUCUGUAGUUCUUUCUGCCUUCAGAUCUAAGCAAUCGACUACACUUAUGAAUAGAUGAUUAUAUGCAGUGGAACCUUCUAGUAUCCUUUUUCUUCCCUAUAACACUAAAACAUUGCAUUGUUAUGACAAUUUAUGAACAUACAAGUCUAAUCUCCAGAAUUGCCAUGUUCGUUAAAAGGUGAUGGCAUAAAUACCAAUAUGCCCACUCUACAAAGAGCCUUCAAGACAUUCACCAGCACUGCAGUAUCUCCUUACAUUUGUGCCGAGGCUGGUGUUGUGCCUUAUGACUCUUAUUAAUAGCAACAUAAAAUGUGUACACGGUACAACUUGGAGUAGCUUUAACAUCCUUCACUAUGUUUAGUUUGUAACUACUGGCAUCUGCUAUUGGUCCCUCAUAAAUGUAGUUACUUAAUCACACUAUUUCCUGUGCAGAUUUCAUGUUUGUUGCACACCUGUCCUGUUAAUCGAUAACCCAAGGAAGCUCUUUUUGUAGCGUAAAUAAGGUAUGUGCCCUCUGUUCUAUCUCCACACUUACCAUUCGCUAAUUGCUUAGUACCUCUACUUUCAUGCUGAAAGUUCUAGUGAAUUUUCAUUUUACAGGUUUAUAAUUUCAAGCAUCAAGACAAGCUUUAACUUAUUAUCCAAUAAACUUGUGGUAAGUAAGUUCUUUAACAUGUAAUCUGUUGGGGUUUGUGCAUUGAUUACAAGUCAAGAGACUAGUCUAGCGACUAGUCUAUGAGUCGCAUUCUGGGUGUCGACUAGAAAUCUCGUGUAGAAGUAGUUCGCCGUUCGGCUCAAUUUUUUUUCUUUUAGGGACUGGGAGGGGAUAAGUGAGCCAGCCUACCAGCCCGCAGCCUCCAAUAUUUCUGCUCUCCCUGGAUCUGCCGGCCCUUUCCCUCCAAUAUUUCUGCUCUCCCUGGAUCUGCCGGCCCUUUCCCUCCAAUACUUCUGCUCUCCCUGGAUCUGCCCCUACGGUCUCCCUCCCUCUGCUGGCUAUUGGAUCUGCCUGUCUGCCAGGUUGCAGCAAACAAGCAAGCAAGCAUANNNNNNNNNNNNNNNNNNNNNNNNNNNNNNNNNNNNNNNNNNNNNNNNNNNNNNNNNNNNNNNNNNNNNNNNNNNNNNNNNNNNNNNNNNNNNNNNNNNNNNNNNNNNNNNNNNNNNNNNNNNNNNNNNNNNNNNNNNNNNNNNNNNNNNNNNNNNNNNNNNNNNNNNNNNNNNNNNNNNNNNNNNNNNNNNNNNNNNNNNNNNNNNNNNNNNNNNNNNNNNNNNNNNNNNNNNNNNNNNNNNNNNNNNNNNNNNNNNNNNNNNNNNNNNNNNNNNNNNNNNNNNNNNNNNNNNNNNNNNNNNNNNNNNNNNNNNNNNNNNGUCUGAACCGCAAUGUCUACCCACUGGAGAUAUCUCAUGUAGUGUGUUCAGAAGCAGCUGCAGCUAUGAGCAAUACGGUCCAUCAAAGGAUCCUGCAAAAGCCAACUAGGAGCAAGGAUCCAGCAUGGAAAUACGCUUAUUGGCCUGACAUGCAGAACAAAUUGAUUACUGCAAGUUGUGUGCUACAGUACCAUAUCGACUAGUCCAACAGUAGUCUAGACUAAUCACGAUUAGUCUAUAGUGUCAACCUUCGAACGACUCGUAAACUUCGAAAUAGAACAAAACUAGGACAAACUGAAUAGGCUCAUGGCAUCAUUUCUUAUGAUAAAUGAUAAUGAAUACGUACUGCUAUGAUUUUGUCAAGUUUCCAUGUCAAUAGUCUCAGUGUUACUAUACAUUUGAUAUUUUGUGUUUAUCAUUUUUUUUGAACAAACAAAUGGCGCACCAGGCGCCCAUACUAUUGCAUUAAUCUGAGAAACAAUUUACACGUAUAAGUACAAAUCCCUGCAUUUGAGUGUGCAUUAAUCUCUGAAGCAGGGGACAAUGCCCUCUAGUAUGAACAGGAUUAGUGCAACUAAACCUAUGGAUAGGAGAAGCUACAUGAUCCUGUGUGAUUGCUAACCUUGCAGCUUUAUGCGCUAUGCUGUUUUGAUCUCUGUUAACAUGGUAGACCUGAAUGUUCCUGAACUCUGUCAUUGCACAAAAGUCUGCUAUAUAGCUUCUUAUCUGCCAAUUCCCUGGUUCCUUCCUUGGCGAUCUUGCUGCUGCAGCUUUUGCCACAGUGAGGUUGUCUGUUAGCACUGCAGCUUCCUGAAUGUGCAGAUAUUCCAAAAGAUUUGCUGCCAACUUUAGACCCUGUGCUUCUGCUUGAACAGCUGAAUUAGCUAUCAUCCCUAUGGCUGAAAUUGAUGCUUGAAGGUUUGAGUAACCUUGCUUAAGUUGAAUGUAGACACCUAUUCCUGCUUGUGCUCCUUCAUUUCCGUUCUGACUCUCCUGUAGAUUCCAUGCUGCAUCUGUGAAGAAUGUGUUUUGUGUAGAAAGCUUGGAUGCAUCAAUUGUGUUUCCCUGCCUUAGUUCCUCCCUUUUGUCCUGCAUAGGUAUCUUAUUCUUGCAUAGAUUAUUAUGAUCUGCUUCUAAUUUAAAAGAGUUUGUAAUUGCUUGUGCUGCAAAAGAGACAUGUAUAGGGGAGCCUUCUUUCCUUUGGAAAAGCUUCUCAUUUCUAACUUUCCAUAGACACCACAUGAAUGUGAAAAUAUUGUUUAAACUUGCAUGAGGAUGGUCUGAACUGAGCAGAUUUAAAAUAAUGGUGAUGAUUGAAGUGGAAUUACUAAUAAAGUUGUCCAUUCUAAUGUACCAUGGUUUUGCAAACCAAGCUUCUCUAGCAUAAGGACAAGUAAAAAAGAUAUACCGUUCAUCUUCUUCAACACUGCAUCUUGAGCAUUUUUUAUCUAUAUGCUUCGAAUAUUUACCUGCUCUUCUGCCUGUUGGAAGCGCUUUUCUAAUUAGCCUCCAUGCAAAUGUUUGAACCGUCGGUGCAAUGUCUUUGGCCUUCCAUAUCUGCUUUAAAAGGGCUUUUGUAUUGUCUGGAAUGACCCUUGGCUGCGGCUCUCCUUCCUGUUGCAUCACCUGUAGGCAUAAUUUAUAAGCACUUUUGGAGUUGAAUUGUCCUGUUUGAGUUAGUUUCCAACACAAAAGAUCUUCUCCGCCGGAUUGGAUAAUGGGCGUUCGGAUUAUUUCUGCAGCAGUAUCAUGAUCAAAAAGGUUGCAAAUAAGAUUAGUAUUCCAAAGUUUCUGAUUUGGCAGCCAAAGGUCUCUGACUAUUGCAGGGUAAUCAAAAUGACUAUCUUGGAUAAUCAGAUGAUCGUAGAUUGUGCUCCAGCCUUUAUACCAGGGAGAGCUCCAAAUAGAUAUGUUCCCUUCGGUAAGUUGAUAAAAAGAGUUGUUGAUGAGCAUAGGUCUAAUUUUGAGAAUAGCUGUCCAAAAAGCAGAUUUAGGAACAUUAUGGUUGGCUCUCCAAAAGGAAGUAUCAGGAAAAUAUUUAGAUUGAAGGACUUUGGAAAUGUGACUGUUGGGUUGUUCCACUAUUCUCCAAGCAGCAGAUAGAAUCAUAGCUCUGUUAGUGGCUUGCAUGUUCUUGAUACCUAAUCCACCUUCAUUCUUAGGGGAACAUAUGUCCUUCCAGGCUCUAAGGCAAAGAGAUUUAGCACUGGUUUCUUCUUUUAUCCCUGUCCACCAAAAAUUUCUAAUGAUAGCAUUAAGCUUUGACAGGAAUUUCUUAGGAAAAAGAAUGUUAGACAUAUAAUAAACAGGGAUUGAAGCAAAAACAGAAUUAAUUAGGGUGAGUCUUCCUGCAUGCGAGAGUUUAUUUGCUUUGUAGCUAGGAAGUUUGGCCUUGAAUUUGUCAAUGACAAAGUUGUAGGCAGAUGCCCUGUCUUUGGCAGGAAGAAUGAGAGGAUGUCCCAGGUGAAUGGAUUUUUGAUCUAUAGUAGGAACAUGAAAGUCUUGAUGGCAUUCUGAGUGUUGAUGUCAACUCCUUUGCUAAAUAGAAUAGCAGAUUUGCUCCAAUUUGGAGUUUGAGCAGAUUGUGUACAGAAAGAUUGGAUGAUUUGAUUCAUUGUAGUUGCUUCUUGGAUGGUGGCCUGGCCACAGACUAAUAAGUCAUCAGCGAACAUGAGAGAAUGAAUUGAGGGGCAUUUUGGUCCAAGCGAAAUACCUGUCAAAUGCUUGGACAUCAUGGCCUCUUGCAUAGUGAUAGAAAGCUCAUUAAUGGCAAUAACAAAAAGAUAAGGUGAGAGGGGACAACCUUGUCUGAUUCCUCUGCUGCUACGGAAUCUCGCAUACGAUUGGCCAUUUAUUAUGACAGAGAACAUUGGAGUGGAAAUACAUGCAUGGAUUAAAUUACUAAAAUGACCAUGAAGUCCUUUACGAGUUAGUGCAGAGAAAAUGAAGCUCCAAUGCAAACAGUCAAAAGCCUUAGCAAGAUCAAUUUUUAGCAUAAAGGCAGGAGAAUUCCACGAUCUCAGGGUAAAAGAAUGAGUAAUUUCCUGAGCAAUAAUGAUAUUGUUACUAAUUCUCCUUCCUUGAAUGAAGGCUUGCUGAGAGGGAUGGAUGUAAUCAGGGAGAUGGGGCUUUAACCUAUUAGCCAAAGUUUUUGCAAUGAUUUUGUAAAUAACAUUACAAAGACUAAUAGGUCUAAAAUCAGCAGGAGUCUUGCAAACAAUUUUCUUUGGUAUCAAGACAAUGUUUGUAUUAUUAAUAUGACUAGGCAUGAUACCUGUGAUAUAGAAUUUCCUUACCAAAUCAGUUACAUCAUCUCCAAUCCAUUCCCAUGCUGCUAUAUAGAAGGCUACAUUUAGUCCAUCUGGGCCUGGUGAAGCAUUUCUUCUCAUCUCAUUUAGUAUCUGCCAAAUCUCCUGCUUGUCGGGAAUACUAGUAGUAGGAUCUUGCUGAUGAGCAUCUGGUUGAGUUCGUAGGUAUGGCCUUCCAUGAUCUGCAUUAUUAGUCUGGAAAAUUUGUUUGAAAUAGUCCACAAAUACACGAGCAAUUUUUUCAGGAUUAAAAUGAGUCACAUUAUUAGUAUCUGUGAUUGAAACAAUCUGAUUCUUUCUUCUGCGCUUGAUGACAGCAUUAUGAAAGUAACUUGUGUUCCUGUCUCCUUUAGUUGCCCAAUGUUUUUUUGCCCUUUGGCUGUAAAAUUCUGUCAACUUUGUUAGAUUUUCUUCAUACCUGUUCACGAGAGAUGCUUCAAGUUUAUGAUUUUGUUCCUGCAUCGGCUUCAUUUGUAUAUUUUUUAUUUGCUCCUCCAAUAGAUUGAGUUCCUGGUUAAUUGGUUUUUUCUUUCUGCACCAUUCCUUCAAUGCUCCUGCAAGGUGGUUAGUCCUUGCAUAAAAAGGCCUAUGAGCAGUGCUUUGCCAAGCAGAUUUUGCACAAGGUUGAAAAUCUUCUUCCAUAAGCCACCAAUUCUCAAAUUUAAAAUUUUGCAAAGGCUUUUUAAACUUGCCUUAUGUAGAGACAAGAAUGGGAGCAUGGUCACUAAUAGUGAUAGGCAUAUUAUAAACAUUAGUGACAGGAUAAAGAGCACACCAUUCUGCAUUUGCUAAACAUCUAUCAAGUCGUUCAUAUAUAGGAUUGGAAGAAUAUCUUUUGUUUGUCCAAGUGUAAGCCGGACCACUGUAGCCAAGGUCAAAUAAACCACAAGUUUUGACCAGAUUACGAAAGGCAAACAUACGAGUAGCAUUCAUAUGGGGAGAACUUUUGUCCAUAUCAUACAAGAUAUUGUUAAGAUCUCCCAUACAAACUAUUGGCUUGUUGGCAUUAUCAUACACAAAAGAUGCCACAAGGUCCCAAAUCUGGUCUGUUUGGCGGUGGUAGGGAUCACCAUAGAUACAAACCAGAGCAAACUCCUCCCUAGUUACUCUAUUAACUACUAAAGAUAGGAUAACAUGGAAAUUAGAAAUAUGUACAUUGAUUUGGAGGUCGUCAUGCCACAUCAGCCAGAGUCCUCCCGAGCGACCCUUGGAAGGAACUACAAAACUAUUAGCCAUAUCAAAACGUUGGUUUAAAUCAGCCGGCUUAUAUUUGGAGGUUUUAAUUUCUGAAACAAAAGUGACCUGAGCUUUGGUGGCAUGAAUCAACCUAGCCAGGUAGCACAUCUUGUUACUGCCAAGUCCCUGGCCUAUACCUCGGCAGUAUUUUGUGUUUAUCAUGAAACAGUAUUAUUAUCGUUCAGUAGUUUCAUAAUAGUGAAUCAUACAUUUAUUCUUCACUUAGAUUCGUCUUCAAGACGUUGAUCUUGAUAGUUUCACUUAUUUUUGUAGUGCUCUGAACUUAGUAAUGCUUGAUUAUGCUUUACUAAAUUUAAUCUGCCUUGUGAAGUAGUAAUAUAUCUGAUAAUGUUGGACAUAGCUUCACAUCAUAUGUUUAAAUGUGCAAUUACUGAAUAUUCGUGUCAUUUCACUAUUUUUUCUUGUUCUAAUGCAGAGCAGCAGAUGAUUAACAGAUCAGAGAGGAUUACUUCAAGGGAAUAGAAGAAAUACUGGUCAAAAGACAAAGAUUCCAUUAACCACAGGUCCAGAGAGGCCUCGGGCACUGCUCCCCACUCUCAGUAUUUACAUUUCACUACAUUAUGUACAGUCA
This 7875-nucleotide long non-coding RNA is filed under the name Triticum aestivum (bread wheat). Its description in RNAcentral is "long non-coding RNA (TAES_LNC026171)". The record is from RNAcentral. Lineage: Eukaryota; Viridiplantae; Streptophyta; Magnoliopsida; Poales; Poaceae.